UUGAAUGCAUUAUUUAUGAAUAAAAAAACUUUAUUUUGUCUGUGUCACUUUAUGUUAUUCCUCAAAAUUACAGUUGGCAUUUCUGAUCAAUUCACCUUUAUUGCCAUGUGUACAGUCUCUUAUAUUCGUAAGAUGACUUUUGUUUAUCUCUUAAAUCUAUUUUGAUGAAAUGCUCAUCAAAUCAUUUUUUUAGUAAGACAAAACGGUUGCUUCAACUUAAAUCUGUGAACUAGUAGUCUUCUUUUGCAUAUCAAGGCUAUAGCAAACAUCUUGACAACAUUGAAACCAUUUCUA
This 294-nucleotide long non-coding RNA is filed under the name Mytilus galloprovincialis (Mediterranean mussel). The record is from RNAcentral. Lineage: Eukaryota; Metazoa; Mollusca; Bivalvia; Mytilida; Mytilidae.